This 117-nucleotide ribosomal RNA is filed under the name Candidatus Chisholmbacteria bacterium. Lineage: Bacteria; Candidatus Chisholmiibacteriota. The record is from RNAcentral.
CCCCGUCGUUGAAGCGGGUUGGAACCACCUCUUCUCAUUCCGAACAGAGUCGUGAAACGGCCCAGCGGUGAUGAUAGUUGUCCGGAGACGGACUGCGAAAGUAGCUCACGGCGGGGA